GACGAACGCUGGCGGCGUGCUUAACACAUGCAAGUCGAACGGAAAGGCCCUGCUUUUGUGGGGUGCUCGAGUGGCGAACGGGUGAGUAACACGUGAGUAACCUGCCCUUGACUUUGGGAUAACUUCAGGAAACUGGGGCUAAUACCGGAUAGGAGCUCCUGCUGCAUGGUGGGGGUUGGAAAGUUUCGGCGGUUGGGGAUGGACUCGCGGCUUAUCAGCUUGUUGGUGGGGUAGUGGCUUACCAAGGCUUUGACGGGUAGCCGGCCUGAGAGGGUGACCGGCCACAUUAGGACUGAGAUACGGACCAGACUCCUACGGGAGGCAGCAGUGGGGAAUAUUACACAAUGGGAGGAAGCCUGAUGCAGCAACGCCGCGUGCGGGAUGACGGCCUUCGGGUUGUAAACCGCUUUCGCCUGUGACGAAGCGUGAGUGACGGUAAUGGGUAAAGAAGCACCGGCUAACUACGUG
This 468-nucleotide ribosomal RNA is filed under the name uncultured bacterium. RNAcentral's name for it is "partial 16S ribosomal RNA". It matches the Rfam family "Bacterial small subunit ribosomal RNA", at positions 28 to 507 of the family's 1533-position model. The record is from RNAcentral.